UCCAAAAAGUGGGUGAGGUAGGG
This 23-nucleotide non-coding RNA is filed under the name Rattus norvegicus (Norway rat). Lineage: Eukaryota; Metazoa; Chordata; Mammalia; Rodentia; Muridae. The record is from RNAcentral.